CCAGAGCCUGAAUCAGUGUGUGUGUUAGUGGAAGCGUCUGGAAAGGCGCGCGAUACAGGGUGACAGCCCCGUACACAAAAAUGCACAUGCUGUGAGCUCGAUGAGUAGGGCGGGACACGUGGUAUCCUGUCUGAAUAUGGGGGGACCAUCCUCCAAGGCUAAAUACUCCUGACUGACCGAUAGUGAACCAGUACCGUGAGGGAAAGGCGAAAAGAACCCCGGCGAGGGGAGUGAAAAAGAACCUGAAACCGUGUACGUACAAGCAGUGGGAGCACGCUUAGGCGUGUGACUGCGUACCUUUUGUAUAAUGGGUCAGCGACUUAUAUUCUGUAGCAAGGUUAACCGAAUAGGGGAGCCGAAGGGAAACCGAGUCUUAACUGGGCGUUAAGUUGCAGGGUAUAGACCCGAAACCCGGUGAUCUAGCCAUGGGCAGGUUGAAGGUUGGGUAACACUAACUGGAGGACCGAACCGACUAAUGUUGAAAAAUUAGCGGAUGACUUGUGGCUGGGGGUGAAAGGCCAAUCAAACCGGGAGAUAGCUGGUUCUCCCCGAAAGCUAUUUAGGUAGCGCCUCGUGAAUUCAUCUCCGGGGGUAGAGCACUGUUUCGGCAAGGGGGUCAUCCCGACUUACCAACCCGAUGCAAACUGCGAAUACCGGAGAAUGUUAUCACGGGAGACACACGGCGGGUGCUAACGUCCGUCGUGAAGAGGGAAACAACCCAGACCGCCAGCUAAGGUCCCAAAGUCAUGGUUAAGUGGGAAACGAUGUGGGAAGGCCCAGACAGCCAGGAUGUUGGCUUAGAAGCAGCCAUCAUUUAAAGAAAGCGUAAUAGCUCACUGGUCGAGUCGGCCUGCGCGGAAGAUGUAACGGGGCUAAACCAUGCACCGAAGCUGCGGCAGCGACACUAUGUGUUGUUGGGUAGGGGAGCGUUCUGUAAGCCUGCGAAGGUGUGCUGUGAGGCAUGCUGGAGGUAUCAGAAGUGCGAAUGCUGACAUAAGUAACGAUAAAGCGGGUGAAAAGCCCGCUCGCCGGAAGACCAAGGGUUCCUGUCCAACGUUAAUCGGGGCAGGGUGAGUCGACCCCUAAGGCGAGGCCGAAAGGCGUAGUCGAUGGGAAACAGGUUAAUAUUCCUGUACUUGGUGUUACUGCGAAGGGGGGACGGAGAAGGCUAUGUUGGCCGGGCGACGGUUGUCCCGGUUUAAGCGUGUAGGCUGGUUUUCCAGGCAAAUCCGGAAAAUCAAGGCUGAGGCGUGAUGACGAGGCACUACGGUGCUGAAGCAACAAAUGCCCUGCUUCCAGGAAAAGCCUCUAAGCAUCAGGUAACAUCAAAUCGUACCCCAAACCGACACAGGUGGUCAGGUAGAGAAUACCAAGGCGCUUGAGAGAACUCGGGUGAAGGAACUAGGCAAAAUGGUGCCGUAACUUCGGGAGAAGG
Molecule: ribosomal RNA, 1435 nt
Filed under: Escherichia coli
Lineage: Bacteria; Pseudomonadati; Pseudomonadota; Gammaproteobacteria; Enterobacterales; Enterobacteriaceae
Description: partial 23S ribosomal RNA
Rfam family: Bacterial large subunit ribosomal RNA
Source: RNAcentral